GCCGUAAGUGUGAUUAAGAAUUAAAAUAACUAUGUAUGUCUUUAUGUAAUUGAGGCUAUAAGGUCAUAUUUCUAAUCAAUGUCCUGCUACUCAAUUUGGCAACCAACACAGGAUUUGGAGUUUAGAGGACUUCACUUCUACUCGAUUCUUCAGCAACAGCUGCAUUUUUUGUUUGGUUUUUAUUUCAGCGACCAUGUGAAUACACAUUAAGAAAAUCCAGGAAAUGGAAAUACAUAUUAAAGCAAGCCAACAACAGCGACCUCACAAUGAAGCUGGCAAGUGCAGUAGUUCAAACACCACGAGCCUGACAACCUUGGAGACUAAGACGAUAACUUAACCAGUCUAUCUGUCUUCUCUAACAUCCCUGAAGAACAAUCUUCAUAAAUUCCGUACUCAUCUUCAUCUCUGCUCACAACAUCAUAAGUGACAGCAUUUGAUGUCUUUCAUAUAGAAUUGUUGCCCGACACAAUGCGGGGAGUGAGGCUAGAUACAGCCUUAGCCAUUGCAAAAUCAUCAGUCGGAGCAUCGAACUCGGAAUGAAGGAGCCUUAAUUAUCUUGCUUUGGCCUUCAAGAACUUUUACCACUUCAGACAUGGUUGGCCUCAGUGUAGGGGAUGGAUUACUGCACAGCAUUGCCAGGUCUAAGAUCAUCAUUGCUUGUUUCACUGAGUAAUCAUACCCCAAGACUGGAUCAACUAGCGACAAUAGUUCACCCUUUUCUUGCAAAACAUAAGCCAAAUCAAGUAGAUAGACACUCUCAUCGUUUGGCCUGUAACUGGUGCUAUUCCUCCCACUCAUAACCUCAAGUGCAACCACUCCAAAGCUGUAAACAUCUGCU
RNAcentral lists this unclassified non-coding RNA (838 nucleotides) under Hevea brasiliensis (rubber tree). The record is from RNAcentral. Lineage: Eukaryota; Viridiplantae; Streptophyta; Magnoliopsida; Malpighiales; Euphorbiaceae.